GCCCAACGCCAAUAUCGGCAAACUGCAAUUUAUCUGUAAACGGAAUCGUCGCUAGCACCAUAAACGCCGGCGCAAAUGCAAGUACAGGCGCGAGAAUAAACAAUGGUUUAUCGGCCAAUUUUGGAAUCGUAUCUUCUUUUAACAAAAGCUUUAAUACGUCCGCAACUGACUGCAAAAGCCCCCAUCGGCCGCCCACUUGGUUUGGGCCGUGGCGCAGCUGCAUAAAACCCAUUACUUUUCGUUCUGCA
RNAcentral lists this non-coding RNA (248 nucleotides) under Bacillus methanolicus MGA3. Lineage: Bacteria; Bacillati; Bacillota; Bacilli; Caryophanales; Bacillaceae. The record is from RNAcentral.